AGUGAACGCUGGCGGUAGGCCUAACACAUGCAAGUCGAACGGCAGCACAGUAAGAGCUUGCUCUUACGGGUGGCGAGUGGCGGACGGGUGAGGAAUACAUCGGAAUCUACUUUUUCGUGGGGGAUAACGUAGGGAAACUUACGCUAAUACCGCAUACGACCUACGGGUGAAAGCAGGGGCUCUUCGGCCCUUGCCCUCUUGAAUGAGCCGAUGUCGGAUUAGCUAGUUGGGGGGGUAAAGGCCCAACCAGGGCGCGAUCCCUAGCCGGUCUGAGAGGAUGAACCGCCAAACUGGAAAUGGGAACAGGGCCCGACCCCCACGGGAGGGAGCAGGGGGGAAAAUUGGACAAUGGGGGCAAGCCUGAUGCAGCCCAGCCCGGGGGAGGAAGAAGGCCUUCGGGUUUUAAAGGCCUUUUUGUGGGGAGAAAGAGAGAAAAGUUAAUACCCCCGCUGUUUGACGGUAACCAAAGAAAAAGCCCCGGCUAACUCCGUG
This 492-nucleotide ribosomal RNA is filed under the name uncultured bacterium. RNAcentral's name for it is "partial 16S ribosomal RNA". It matches the Rfam family "Bacterial small subunit ribosomal RNA", at positions 29 to 507 of the family's 1533-position model. The record is from RNAcentral.